UACAGAGGAGGCGAGCGUUGUUCGGAAUCACUGGGCUUAAAGGGCGCGUAGGCGGCUCGGAAAGUGUUCUGUGAAAGCCCCCGGCUCAACCGGGGAACGGCAGGGCAAACUCCCGGGCUUGAGGUCGGUAGAGGUGCCUAGAAUUCCACGUGUAGCAGUGAAAUGCGUAGAUAUGUGGAGGAAUACCGAUGGCGAAGGCAGCCCCCUGGGUCGACACUGACGCUCAUGCACGAAAGCGUGGGGAGCAAAC
This 250-nucleotide ribosomal RNA is filed under the name uncultured bacterium. RNAcentral describes it as "partial 16S ribosomal RNA". It matches the Rfam family "Bacterial small subunit ribosomal RNA", at positions 524 to 773 of the family's 1533-position model. The record is from RNAcentral.